GAUACUAUGAAUAAAAAUUUCGCUGCAAUUGUAUGCUCUUUAGUGAAAAUUACAGUUUAAUUUUCAAUAACGUUGCUGAUAUUUACAUCGUUUGUAGAAUAAGGUGUAGUAGCGCACAGUCCAAAUUCAAAAAUCAUCAUUCAGUUCAGAAUUCAGAUUGAAAUUCAAGAUUCAAAUUUAGAAUUAAAAUCUUGAAUUCACAAUUAUGAAUGCAAUUUGAAAUUCACGAUUCAUAAUGUACAUAUUAAUAAACUAAGAUUUACAUGUGGGAUGCCAUAACGACCGAUUUGAACGAGUAAUUACUCGAAGCAUCUAUAAGCCAUUAGGACGCCCCUCGGCGAUAAGUCAAAACUUAUGUAAGACCCUUCACACACACCGACACGCAGUUGUCAUUCAUCGUCGCGUCGGAAUCCAUCGCGGGUCGGCAUCAACCAAUGUCAUCGUGGUGCAGAGCGAACGGGAAACCCUUAGGCGCCGUGUCUGUAAAACGUCGGGUUCCGUUUCCGGUUCUAUUUCUGCGGGGAAAUACUCUUCGUUUCGAGUUUUACAGUGUCCUGGAGAUUCAGGUAACAAACGCGUCUUUCGUGCGAACAACCUCGCGGGCCAAACCAGUGUGCAUAAUGAUGCUAAGAUACUCCGCUCGAAUGUACGUUUGAUUGUAACAUUCAUUAUUGUGUAACAUCCGGAUGAUUCCCACAGGAAAUUACAUUCUAAGCCGCACAUAACGGACGUAAUUUUACGCUGACAACGGUGGACAGUCUUCCGGUAAUUGUUCCGGAUAAGUGAAUUCAAAUUUUGUGACAUGUUCGUUCAACAACACAAAGGAGGAAAACGAGACUCAUUAGACGGACGGCAAGGGUGUCAGCUGUCUUGGAUCGCUACGUGUUGCUUGUGUCCGAUGAUGACCAAAUCGUAAGUUUCUUCCCAAAUUGAUCCACUGAAUACGAAAGCCAAAAUUAAGAUUUUUUGUGUUAUGACCAUAUUUUAAAUUAGUGCAGUUUCUUCCCCGUACACAUUUUCGACAAUUUUAUAAGGGUUAUUACUAUUCAUAUUUGUUAAUGACCCCGGGUUAUUACUAUUCAAAUUUGUUAAUGUCAUCGUGGUGCGGAGCGAACGGGAAACCCUUAGGCGCCGUGUCUGUAAAAUUUCGGGUUCUUUUUCCGGUUCUAUUUCUGCGGGGAAAUACUCUUCGUUUCGAGUUUUACAGUGUCCUGGAGAUUCAGGUAACAAACGCGUCUUCCGUGCGAACAACCUCCCGGGCCAAACCAGUGUGCAUAAUGGUGCUAAGAUACUCCGCUCGAAUGUACGUUUGAUUGUAACAUUCAUUAUUGUGUAACAUCCGGACGAUUCCCACAGGAAAUUACAUUCUAAGCCGCACAAUAACGGACGUAAUUUUACGCUGACAACGGUGGACAUUCAAUUAUGACGUGCGUUCUUACAGUCUUCUGGUAAUUGUUCCGGAUAAGUGAAUUCAAAUUUUGUUACAUAUUCGUUCAACAACACAAAGAAGGAAAACGUACAAGGGUGCAAGGGUGUCAGCUGUCUUGAAUCGCUACGUGUUGCCUGUGUCCGAUGAUGACCAAAUCGUAAGUUCUUCCAAAUUGAUUCACUGAAUACGAAAGCCAAAAUUAAGAUUUUUUGUGUUAUGACCAUAUAUUAAAAUUUCGCUGAAAUUGUAUGCUCUUUAGUGAAAAUUAUAGCUUAAUUUUCAUUAACGUUGCUGAUAUUUACAUCGUUUAUAGAAUUAGAUGUAGUAGUGCACAGUCCAAAUUCAAAAACCAUCAUUCAGUUCAGAAUUCAGAUUGAAAUUCAAGAUUCAAAUUUAGAAUUAAAAUCUUGAAUUCACAAUAAUGAAUGCAAUUUGAAAUUCACGAUUCAUAAUGUACAUAUUAUUAAACUAAGAUUUACAUGUGGGAUGCCAUAACGACCGAUUUGAACGAGUAAUUACUCGAAGCAUCUAUAAGCCAUUAGGACGCCCCUCGGCGAUAAGUCAAAACUUAUGUAAGACCCUUCACACACACCGACACGCACUUGUCAUUCAUCGUCGCGUCGGAAUCCAUCGCGGGUCGGCAUCAACCAAUGUCAUCGUGGUGCGGAGCGAACGGGAAACCCUUAGGCGCCGUGUCUGUAAAACGUCGGGUUCCGUUUCCGGUUCUAUUUCUGCGGGGAAAUACUCUUCGUUUCGAGUUUUACAGUGUCCUGGAGAUUCAGGUAACAAACGCGUCUUUCGUGCGAACAACCUCGCGGGUCAAACCAGUGUGCAUAAUGAUGCUAAGAUACUCCGCUCGAAUGUACGUUUGAUUGUAACAUUCAUUAUUGUGUAACAUCCGGAUGAUUCCCACAGGAAAUUACAUUCUAAGCCGCACAUAACGGACGUAAUUUUACGCUGACAACGGUGGACAGUCUUCCGGUAAUUGUUCCGGAUAAGUGAAUUCAAAUUUUGUGACAUGUUCGUUCAACAACACAAAGCAGGAAAACGAGACUCAUUAGACGGACGGCAAGGGUGUCAGCUGUCUUGGAUCGCUACGUGUUGCUUGUGUCCGAUGAUGACCAAAUCUCUUCUGGUAAUUGUUCCGGAUAAGUGAAUUCAAAUUUUGUGACAUAUUCGUUCAACAACACAAAGGAGGAAAACGUACAAGGGUGCAAGGGUGUCAGCUGUCUUGAAUCGCUACGUGUUGCCUGUGUCCGAUGAUGACCAAAUCGCUGGCAGCCUCCAUUUAUUUCACUUCGAAUUGGCGCUGAAAGUUGUCUACAUUUUAUUCUUGUAAAUAACGGUGAAAUAGAUACAAAAAGAAAAGUACCAGUGCGUGGAAAGUCGAUUGUUGGUGCCUUAACUAUUGUUGGUGCCUUAACUAUUGUUGGUGCCUUAACUAUUGUUGGUGCGUAUAAGGUACGUACAUUAACUUUUUAUUAUGCAACAAUCCGAUUUAUUUUUUUUGAUUUUAGUUGAGUUAUUUAGUUAAAAUAUAAGGGUUUGAGGUCCAGAUUCGAUUUCUGAUUAAACUUCUGAUUAACUUGUUUUUAAUGAACUACGUUCAAAUCAUUGAGGCGCUAGGAUCAGAGUUGCUGACUUCGAAACACCCGGCCUCUUAGGUUUUUUUUUCGUUUUUCAUAAUUGCCAUAACACCUUCUAAGACUUAUUUAGGAUUGGGGGCAAGUGCAAACGCAAUACUUUUUCCAAACUAAUUCACAGAUGAGUCAGUAUAUCGGUCCUAAAAUGAAUUGAAUACAUGUUCCGGUAUGUUUUAUCAACUUUUAUUUAUAUAUUUGCUGUUUUCUUGCAAUAUUGAUAACUUUUUGGAACUCCAUUUUUGGUGACUGUUGUUUUAAGCAAAAGACCUUCAUUUACUAAGGCAUUGCGGAACUAUGAACAUUCGCUUCAGAUACAACACUUUGGAUACCCCUUCUGACCAUUUUAAUAUAAUGCUGAACUAUUUUGGUGAUGAAUUUUCUGAAAUGGCUGAUGUUACAUGGCUUAAAGGUGCGUUUGCACUUACCCUGGUAGUGUCGUUUGCACUUGCCCCGCAGUGUGGUUUAACAAGAGCGAAUAUUACGUUCACAACUUUCGGGGUUUACUAAAAAUUUAUCAUAAAUGUUCUGCUUUCACUUGAAUAUCGUUCUCAAACACUCACAUUUUAACGAAAAAUCGGAUUUGAAUGCCCUUUUUUGUAGCCAAAAUAUGCAAAACAAAAACACACUGUUCAUGUCUAGUACGUACUUGAAUUCGUGUGUGAUCAAACAAUGCCGUGUUUUUAGUGAAAAAUUUAAAGAAAGUUUAGUUUAUCUAUGUCAGAUUGUUUGUUUGGGUCUAAACAACAUUUUCUAGAAGAAGAAAUAUUUUUUACUUUUUUUUGUAACACAGAAAAUUUGAACGUUUGCACUUGCCCCGGUGUACCUUAUAUUGAUCAGAGAAGCUUUUGCUUGCGGGAAUAUAGAGGCUAUUUUGUACGGCUCGGAAGUCAAGCUUUUUGCAGUCCGGAUUUAUAAUGUUUCGGACAGAUAUCACAUGUUCGGCAAUGUUGCGGGCAGUAAACUGACACUGUACAGCGAUCACUUAUGCAACAUGUUGCCUUAUUGUGAGUACACAUGAAAAUCACUUAAUACUUCGGGGCGAAUGAUACAUGUUUGCCCCUGUGUUCACUUUUUGUCACUGCUACCCCUUUCCUUAGUCUGGGAAUUAGAAUUCGGGUGGCUGGUGGUAGGAGUUACAGCGUCAGGCUGUUUUGUUGGUUCUGGGGCAGCCGAACUCUCAUUUUGAAACUUGAACAGUAGCUAUUUCAAUCAUGUGGGUCGACGAUGCAAUAAUACAGAAUAUUGAAGCCUUUAUCAGUAGCUAUUUCAACCAUGUGGGUCGACGAUGCAAUAAUACAGAAUAUUAAGUGAAAUUCUCAGCUUUUCAAAUUUUGUGUUAUUCGACGUAAUGAAAGCUCACGAGAGCAUUGCUUUUAUUCCAAAUAUCUCGAAAAGGUAUGAAUAUUUUUAACGUUUUACAUUUACAACAAAUAGUCUAGUCAAAUCCAUGGUAUUUUUAUUGGAGAUUUUUAUGUGUUUUGAAUAUUCGAAAACAUGAUAAAAUAAUCAAAUUUUUGAAUUUUUGGAAAUAAGCUGUUAUUUCUACAGAUUUCGAAAUCUCGUUCAAUUUUAUUUAGCCUCAAUCAAUCACAAUCGUCUUCCUGCAUCUUAAAAGGUACACCGGGGUAUUUGGGGACGAUGAAUGUUUGAACAUCACGGGGCACUAUUUUUCAAAUUUUUAAUUUAGAAUGUUUAAUUCAUUUUUAAUCUAUCUAAUAACUGUGAAACGGAUACGAUUACGACAAUAACGGGUGUUUUCAGCGAUUUUUGGUUUACUUUUAAUUAUAACUGAUAUGUCGAGAUGAUGUGCAUCAUUUUCAAUUGCAUUUUUAAUCUAGCGGGUUCUUGGCGACAAACUUUACAUUGAAACAAUCCUAUCAUUCAGAAGAUAGAGAAAAUCUACCAUCCCUACUUACCUUAUAAAGCAGAGUAAGUGAAGAAACCAGCGGUUCAUUAGUUCUAGUGAUAACUUUCGCGAGUUGUGUCAACACUGGACCUAGCAGAGGGACGACAAAUUCUAGGAAAAAUGAGAUAACUUAUCUCGAUCAUACUUAUAUCUUCUGUAUUAGUAUACAACAUAUUCUGCAUCAAAUUGAUCGUAGUUUUGUCUAAAUAGAUCCACUGUUGAUUUUCUUAAAAGAUUUAAGUUGUACUAUAUGAAAAACCGUCCUAC
Long non-coding RNA from Uranotaenia lowii, 5245 nucleotides. RefSeq lists it as uncharacterized. NCBI's taxonomy places the organism in Eukaryota, Metazoa, Arthropoda, Insecta, Diptera, Culicidae. The transcript is spliced from 3 exons. The record is from RefSeq and is a predicted model, not a curated record.